Small nuclear RNA from Erinaceus europaeus (western European hedgehog), 107 nucleotides. Lineage: Eukaryota; Metazoa; Chordata; Mammalia; Eulipotyphla; Erinaceidae. The record is from Ensembl.
GUGCUCACUUCAGCAGCAAAUAUUCUAAAAGUGGAAUGACACAAAGAAGAUUAGCAUGGCCCCUAUGCAAGGAUGACGUGCAAAUUCAUGAAACAUUUCUCCCCUUC